GAAUAAUUGCUUUAAAAAGGUGAAAUGAGAGAGCGAAAGUAGAAUAUACUCACCCCAAAGUUGCCUCAGAGUUGCUGAGGUCACUCUUAUUCUCUCAUGUUUGCUCAGACCUCCACUUCAAGAACAGGUGAUUUGCUUCACUUCAAACAAUUUUUUUUGUUUUAUUAUUUCUGAAAGUUUCAGAAUGAAUAAAUUGAAUUUUUAAGAAUGA
Homo sapiens (human) is the source of this 211-nucleotide long non-coding RNA. RefSeq lists it as uncharacterized. Lineage: Eukaryota; Metazoa; Chordata; Mammalia; Primates; Hominidae. The record is from RefSeq and is a predicted model, not a curated record. The transcript has 2 exons.